Molecule: small RNA, 31 nt
Filed under: Bombyx mori (domestic silkworm)
Lineage: Eukaryota; Metazoa; Arthropoda; Insecta; Lepidoptera; Bombycidae
Description: piRNA piR-bmo-2090499
Source: RNAcentral
UUCCUCAUGUCUGAGGGUCGUGACCACCAUC